Molecule: ribosomal RNA, 793 nt
Filed under: uncultured bacterium
Lineage: Bacteria
Description: bacterial SSU rRNA
Rfam family: Bacterial small subunit ribosomal RNA
Source: RNAcentral
AGAGUUUGAUCCUGGCUCAGAUUGAACGCUGGCGGCAGGCCUAACACAUGCAAGUCGAGCGGUAGAGAGAAGCUUGCUUCUCUCGAGAGCGGCGGACGGGUGAGUAAUGCCUAGGAAUCUGCCUGGUAGUGGGGGAUAACGUUCGGAAACGGACGCUAAUACCGCAUACGUCCUACGGGAGAAAGCAGGGGACCUUCGGGCCUUGCGCUAUCAGAUGAGCCUAGGUCGGAUUAGCUAGUUGGUGAGGUAAUGGCUCACCAAGGCGACGAUCCGUAACUGGUCUGAGAGGAUGAUCAGUCACACUGGAACUGAGACACGGUCCAGACUCCUACGGGAGGCAGCAGUGGGGAAUAUUGGACAAUGGGCGAAAGCCUGAUCCAGCCAUGCCGCGUGUGUGAAGAAGGUCUUCGGAUUGUAAAGCACUUUAAGUUGGGAGGAAGGGUUGUAGAUUAAUACUCUGCAAUUUUGACGUUACCGACAGAAUAAGCACCGGCUAACUCUGUGCCAGCAGCCGCGGUAAUACAGAGGGUGCAAGCGUUAAUCGGAAUUACUGGGCGUAAAGCGCGCGUAGGUGGUUUGUUAAGUUGGAUGUGAAAUCCCCGGGCUCAACCUGGGAACUGCAUUCAAAACUGACUGACUAGAGUAUGGUAGAGGGUGGUGGAAUUUCCUGUGUAGCGGUGAAAUGCGUAGAUAUAGGAAGGAACACCAGUGGCGAAGGCGACCACCUGGACUAAUACUGACACUGAGGUGCGAAAGCGUGGGGAGCAAACAGGAUUAGAUACCCUGGUAGUCC